GUUUGAUCCUGGCUCAGGAUGAACGCUAGCGGUAGGCUUAACACAUGCAAGUCGAGGGGCAGCGAGAGUAGCAAUACUUGUCGGCGACCGGCGCACGGGUGCGUAACGCGUAUGCAACUUUCCUUUAACUGGGGGAUAGCCCGGGGAAACUCGGAUUAAUACCCCAUAAUAUACAGGAUUCGCAUGUUUUCUGUAUUAAAGCUCCGGCGGUUAAAGAUGGGCAUGCGUGACAUUAGUUUGUUGGUGAGGUAACGGCUCACCAAGACUACGAUGUCUAGGGGGUCUGAGAGGAUGAUCCCCCACACUGGUACUGAGACACGGACCAGACUCCUACGGGAGGCAGCAGUGAGGAAUAUUGGUCAAUGGGCGCAAGCCUGAACCAGCCAUACCGCGUGAAGGAUGAAAGCGCUAUGCGUUGUAAACUUCUUUUCUGCAAGAAGAAACUUUCGUACGUGUACGGAACUGACGGUAUUGCAGGAAUAAGGAUCGGCUAACUCCGUGCCAGCAGCCGCGGUAAUACGGAGGAUCCGAGCGUUAUCCGGAUUUAUUGGGUUUAAAGGGUGCGUAGGCGGCUUAUUAAGUCAGUGGUGAAAGCCUGGAGCUUAACUCCAGAACUGCCAUUGAUACUGAUAAGCUUGAGUACAGUUGAGGUGGGCGGAAUGUGUCAUGUAGCGGUGAAAUGCGUAGAUAUGACACAGAACACCGAUUGCGAAGGCAGCUCACUAAGCUGAAACUGACGCUGAGGCACGAAAGCGUGGGGAGCAAACAGGAUUAGAUACCCUGGUAGUCCACGCUGUAAACGAUGAUUACUCGCUGUAGGCGAUACACAGUCUGCGGCUGAGCGAAAGCAUUAAGUAAUCCACCUGGGGAGUACGGCGGCAACGCUGAAACUCAAAGGAAUUGACGGGGGCCCGCACAAGCGGAGGAACAUGUGGUUUAAUUCGAUGAUACGCGAGGAACCUUACCUGGGUUUAAAUGAAGAAAGACGUACCUGGAAACGGGUAUUCCCUUCGGGGCUUUUUUCACGGUGCUGCAUGGUUGUCGUCAGCUCGUGCCGUGAGGUGUCGGCUUAAGUGCCAUAACGAGCGCAACCCCCAUUGUUAGUUGCCAGCGGGUUAUGCCGGGGACUCUAACGAAACUGCCACCGUAAGGUGUGAGGAAGGUGGGGAUGACGUCAAAUCAGCACGGCCCUUAUAUCCAGGGCUACACACGUGUUACAAUGGCCAGUACAAUGGGUUGCUACUUGGUGACAAGAUGCUAAUCUCCAAAGCUGGUCCUAGUUCGGACC
Molecule: ribosomal RNA, 1288 nt
Filed under: metagenome
Description: bacterial SSU rRNA
Rfam family: Bacterial small subunit ribosomal RNA
Source: RNAcentral